RNAcentral lists this long non-coding RNA (2204 nucleotides) under Brassica napus (rape). Its description in RNAcentral is "long non-coding RNA (BNAP_LNC015791)". The record is from RNAcentral. Lineage: Eukaryota; Viridiplantae; Streptophyta; Magnoliopsida; Brassicales; Brassicaceae.
GAAUUUAGAACCGUUGGAUCUUGGAAUCCAAAUACCUUACCAUUUCAGAUGCCCAAUCUCAUUGGAGCUUAUGACCGAUCCAGUAACCGUCUCAACCGGUCAAACUUACGACCGCACAAGCAUCGAGUCAUGGAUCGCCACCGGAAACACCAGUUGCCCCGUCACACGCCUCCCUCUCUCCGACUUCACUCUCAUCCCUAACCACACUCUCCGCCGUCUAAUCCAAGAAUGGUGCGUCGCCAACCGCUCCAGCGGCGUCGAACGGAUUCCCACGCCGAAACAGCCGGCGGAUCCGAUUUCCGUCCGGUCUCUCCUCAGCCAAGCUUCCGCAAUUUCGGGAGCUCACGUCUCUGUUCGCUCACGCGCCGCCGCGAUUCGCCGGCUGAGGGGGUUGGCUAGGGAUAGCGAGAAGAAUCGCGUUUUGAUCGCCGGUCAUAACGCGAGGGAGAUUCUCGUGAGGAUUUUGUUCGCUGACGUGGACGUUGGAGUCGAAACGUCGUCGUCCGAGGUUGUUACCGAGUCCCUCGCGCUUCUGGUUAUGUUUCAUAUGACGGAGGGAGAGUGCGAGUCCAUCUCCUCGGAUCCGGGUCGGGUCGGGUUUAUGACCCGGUUACUGUUCGAUUCAUCGAUUGAGAACCGGGUCAACGCCGCGGCGUUGGUAGAGAUGGUGUUGACCGGAUCCAAAUCUACGGAUCUGAAAAUGAUAAUCUCCGGGUCGGGUUCGGUAUUCGAAGGCGUGAUGGAUCUUUUAAGAAGUUCGGUUUCAUCGCGGCGAGCUUUGAAGAUCGGAAUCAAAGCGCUUUUUGCUCUCUGCCUCGUGAAACAAACGCGCCACCUCGCGAUCUCCGCCGGAGCUCCGGGGACUUUAAUCGGCCGUUUAGCGGCGGACUUCGAUAGGUGUGAUACAGAGAGGGGUUUAGCGACGGUGGAGCUUCUCUGCCGGCUUCCGGAAGGAUGCGCGGCGUUCGGAGAGCACGCUUUGACGGUGCCGCUUCUUGUGAAGACGAUUUUGAGAGUUUCGGAUAGAGCGACGGAGUAUGCGGCGGGAGCGUUGUUGGCUCUGUGCACGGCGGAGGAAAGGUGUAGAGACGAGGCUGCGGCGGCGGGAUUGGUGACGCAGUUGCUGCUUUUGGUGCAGAGUGAUUGUACGGAGAGAGCGAAGAGGAAAGCUCAGAUGCUUUUGAAGCUUCUCAGAGAUUCAUGGCCGGACGAUACCCUUGUGAACGACGACGAGUUCGGUCGUAGCGAAGUGGUGCCGUUUUGAUUUUUUUUUUAGUUUUCUUUUCAAACAAGUAAUUUAUUAUUUUUGUUAGAGAUUUAAAGUAGUCUUAAUCAUGUAAUUAAUUUUUAAAACAUUUUUUGUUUAUCAAAAGUUCCUUUUCUUCUUAGUUAUCUGUCUUUGCAAGUUUUUUAAGUUGGAAAGGUUGUUGAAAAGCAAAUGAAAGCUGUAAGAGGAGGUUGAACCGGUUGCAUAGCCGGUUUGAACCGGUUGCAUAGCCGGGUUGAACCUAAUAAUUGGUUCGACCAUGAACCGGUCACAUAGCCUUAUUGGAUUUCAUAGUUAUUAAAAUGCUAAAAACCAUUAAAACUAUCAAAAGUCUAUAAACUAUCCAUAUAAACAUAAAACUAGUUAUAUUUAUAAGUUUUAUGUUUUAAAUUCAUUUAUAUUUUAAUUAUGUAUCAUAUUUACUAACAUUACGCGACGUUCAUAACAUUUUAUAAAAACAACUAAUUUUAUCAAACCGAACAGAUAAAAUGUUUAAAAUUUAAAUUCAACAAAGUUAUAAAAGCCACACGUGUGGCGCAUACCCUGCGCAGAUAAGGUCUCCUUCCUUCGUCUUCCCACUCUCAAAUUCCAGAAAACAAAAUCCUAAAAGCUCAGAAAAAAAACUUCCAAAAAUGCCGGGGAAUUUAGAACCGUUGGAUCUCGGAAUCCAAAUACCUUACCAUUUCAGAUGCCCAAUCUCAUUGGAGCUUAUGUCCGAUCCAGUAACCGUCUCAACCGGUCAGACUUACGACCGCACAAGCAUCGAGUCAUGGAUCGCCACCGGAAACACCAGUUGCCCCGUCACACGCCUCCCUCUCUCCGACUUCACUCUCAUCCCUAACCACACUCUCCGCCGUCUAAUCCAAGAAUGGUGCGUCGCCAACCGCUCCAGCGGCGUCGAACGGAUUCCCACGCCGAAACAGCCGGCGGAUCCGAU